This 490-nucleotide ribosomal RNA is filed under the name uncultured bacterium. Its description in RNAcentral is "partial 16S ribosomal RNA". It matches the Rfam family "Bacterial small subunit ribosomal RNA", at positions 30 to 507 of the family's 1533-position model. The record is from RNAcentral.
AUUGAACGCUGGCGGCAGGCCUAACACAUGCAAGUCGAACGGUAACAGGAAGACGCUUGCUUCUUUGCUGACGAGUGGCGGACGGGUGAGUAAUGUCUGGGAAACUGCCUGAUGGAGGGGGAUAACUACUGGAAACGGUAGCUAAUACCGCAUAACGUCGCAAGACCAAAGAGGGGGACCUUCGGGCCUCUUGCCAUCGGAUGUGCCCAGAUGGGAUUAGCUAGUAGGUGGGGUAACGGCUCACCUAGGCGACGAUCCCUAGCUGGUCUGAGAGGAUGACCAGCCACACUGGAACUGAGACACGGUCCAGACUCCUACGGGAGGCAGCAGUGGGGAAUAUUGCACAAUGGGCGCAAGCCUGAUGCAGCCAUGCCGCGUGUAUGAAGAAGACCUUCGGGUUGUAAAGUACUUUCAGCGGGGAGGAAGGGAGUAAAGUUAAUACCUUUGCUCAUUGACGUUACCCGCAGAAGAAGCACCGGCUAACUCCGUG